UGGUGGCUGGGCUCGAGCUCACUUGUGUCUUUCUCGGUAUGUUUAGUUGGUUUGAGUGGGUCGUGUCCUGAUAAGCCCACUCUUGGAUCGGCCCAUUAGGGCUAUGGCCCAAAUGUCUCACUAUAUGAAGAGGACUCCCUUCUCCAAGAAGAGGGAGAACAUACUUCCCCACAAAAAGGUUACUCUUAUCUCCUCUUCUCUCAUAUUACUCCUGCUCUCUCUCCCUAAACUACACCCUUACUUGCACUUAUAACAUCUUUAUCACACAAGAUACCGACUUGAGCAUCGGAGUGCCCACGGGGUGAACCCCCUCGGGCCCUCUAACUAGAUCUACCUGUGGCUGCAGUUCAAGACCCGACGUCCCGCAAGAGGAACCGUCACCAUGACGACAAGAUGACGAACCUGAACCGGAGCUCACCGAAUCUAAGGUUAGUACCGCCAAGAUCUCUGAACGACUUCAGGGAUUUGGGGAUUCGACAUUGGCGCCAUCCGUGGGACCAGGUGCAAGCAUGCCUCGGUCCCUUCAUACAAACGGCUGGAUCUGCCCUCUUCGUGAUGGUCAGAUCUGCAUCUCGACUCCGGUUACUAGGUUCUAAUCCUCUUGCAUACAUACCUCAUAAUCCGAAAGGAAGAAAAGAAAAACAAUAAAUAAAUAAAAUAAAGGUGUAUCUUUUGGAAAAGAAGUCAACAAGCUUAUCUAACAAGCUUUUCUGUCAUAGAGCACGUGACUUUGUUGCCAUGAGCUGUCAACAACACUUUUAAUUUUUUUUAUACAAAUUAAAAUAUACACUUGAUAAGAAAGGUAUUAAUUACCUUAGAUUCAUUUGACUUUUGCUAUCCUAACAACUAAAAAAUAGAAGGGUAAAGGAACAGGAAUAUGGUUCAAGUAUAACUUUCUCAGUUAGGAAUAUGGUUGAGCACCUACAUGUAUCUCAAAAGUACAAGCACAUGCUAACACUUCUAAACAUUCAAUAUAAUAAAAUAUACUGAUAUGUAUAUUUUGAGGAAAAUGAAAAUAGGAGCUUUUCAUAACCUUCACUUGCAAGUAAUACUUGAAUUUUUAUUUAUAAAAAAAAAAGAGGGGAAAAGGUACAAGUCAUAUUGCACAUGGCACAACCCUCUUUUUGUGGAAAAGACACUCUUUUGACAGGAUGUGACCUUUUUUCUUGGAAACAUGUGAUGCCUCACUCUUACCAAUGUGGUAAAGUUUCCCUAUGAAAAGAAAGUUAGUUUGACUUUCUUAUGGAAAAAUAAUAAUAUUUUACUAGUACAAGGUCCUUCCACAUGGUCCUUCCCCGGGCCCUCCCUCAGGCCCUUUCACUUGGUCCUUCCUCAGGACCUUUCCCAGGCCCUUCCACCCGGUCCUUCCUCAGGACCUUUCCCAGGUCCUUUCUACACGGUCAUUCUCCAGGUCUCUUCACAAGGUCUUGCCUCAAGCCCUUCCGCCAGGUCCUUUUCUAGACCUUAACACAAAACAUUUACGCAAGGCCUUUCUCCGAAGUCUUGCAUCGUACACCACUUCUAGACACAGAUUUAUUGUUCCCAUUACAACGUUGUUAGGGUACGUAGGCUACCCCCUUAAUGAUAUGAUGGCAUCACGUCUUCACAAAAAGGCACAAGCACAAGCACUUGUACACACAACACAACAUGUUUAAUACAUAAGUAAACUGAUCUUUGGUAUGACUUACCUCUUUGAAAGUGUUUUCGUGGCAAGUAUCGAAGCAUGAACAUGAGCAACACAAAAAGCUAUUAGUCACGACCUACGGGAUAGGUCGACAAAGGCUAAUAUUGGACUGGAUGAUAUGUACCAGAGAAACAAGGCAUGAUCUUUGAAAAGACAUUGAAAAAUAGUGAUCACCUUAAACAUCCUUAAACAUGGAUAUAGCUUCGGUUAGAAAGAAAGCAACACAACAUUAGUGAAAGCAAGAAAUACCUUUGUACAACAUUGAACUGAGGGACUAGUAUGUCUAGGGGGAUAUUGUGGGACAGAGUUUUUGCUAACCACGGGCUACUCUCAUUCAACAAAGAAUCAUCUGCCGGAUACAUCUAUUGGUCAUAUCCUUGUGUGCUAUCGCGUCUCUGAUAAAGACACCACUCAUUAGAAGUGAUUAUGAUUUAGAAGACUUCCGAUACUCAUCAAAAGUAACUAUGUUCUUCAUUCACAACCGAGGGUCUAGACAGACGGGCUCAAGGAUAGCCUAUUUCAUAAGUUCAGUAUUACCAACUACGCUUGACAACACUGAACUGGGGAGCUAGCAUGGGAUAACACCAUUGGGUUCUACGUUGAAGACUUCUCGAAAGGAUCUUUAUUUUUGUAUUACCUCAUCCGAAAAGGAUUAAGCACCUCCAUAAGUUCUCAUGUUCGAAGAUCUAAACAACAAAAGAAAAAGAAAAAAAGGAGGGAAGGAGCAUGGACUGCCUUACAAAUUCCUCCACUUGAAGAAAGGAAAAGCCUGGGUGGUGUAUUUGGCUCCUUCCCUGAAGAAAAAAGAAUCAGAAGAUCACGUUAUCAAUUCUUCACUUGAAGAAAUGAGGAGUCUGGGCUACCUAGUUGGCUCCCCUCCUGAAGGCGAAAGAAUCGUCUGACUACGUUACUAGUCCUUAAGGAAAAUCCAGACGCUCUCCUUGAAGACGGAAGACUCCUUGGACUACGUUGUUGGUCCUCGAAGAAACCCUGGACGGUCCUUCCCUGAAAAAGGAAGAACCCUUGAGCUGUAUUAUUAGUUCAUCUCUUGAAGAAGGAAAGAACCUGAGCAGGACAAUACGAGAGGGGAAAAAUGAAAUCCUCCUACGAUCCGUCAUGCUCAAGAAACCCUCAUCUGCUGGACCAACCCUACCUCCCACGGGAUCUGGCUGAAGUCUCAAAGUUCACUCGGAGAAUUGCAGAGGCACCUAUGCCCCCUAAAACAAAACUACCUCCAAACUUCGACCGGUAUGAUGGGACGAGGAGCCCAGCGAGCGGAUAGAUCAAUACAUAGAAAGGUUUGUCAAGGAAAGCAUGAACAUCAAGGACGUCCCGCAGGUCGUGAAGGUCAGCAGUUUCAUAAACAGAUUAAAACACGCACAACUAUGCAAGAAACUGGGGGAAGAGUUUCCUCGCUCGUUUGACAAUCUCAUGGACAGGGUCAGAGCCUUUUUCAGGGGCAAAGACACAGUUAGUAAAGCCAAGGAGACAGACGCCCCACCCCGAAGGGUCACCUCCGCUGCAAAACCUCUUGAUAAAGGUACACCUUACUCCCGAAAGCCCGCUUUUGAUAUAAUGUUGCAUGAUAGAACAAGACCCUCGUACUCCCCAUACAAACCUCGGGGAAGAGGCCCAUCCCCUUACUCUGACAACUUCACCCCUCUCACCAAGACACCAAGUGAAAUAUUGGCUACUGAGAGGGCGAAGGGCUCCUUUCUAAGGCCACCACCUAUUAAACCUGGGCCAAAGGCACAACCAAAUGAGUAUUGUGACUUUCACAAAGGGUUUGGCCAUAGAACUGAUGAUUGCAUGUACCUAAAAAGAGAAAUAGAAGCCGCGGUUAAAACAGGAAAACUGGCCCAUUUGGUUAAGGAAAUUAAGGAAGGAGGGGGGGGGGGAUCGCAAAGGGAAAAAUGCACGGGGGCCUGGGAGGGCAGAUGUAGAUAUGAUUAGAAGGAGGAAUGAAUUUGAUACCACCAGGAGUGUAAAAGCCAGAAUCCUGGGCUCCCCAGACUGCAUGGAAUCUCCCAUCCUAAUGCCGCACCUGGAAGAAAACGAAGUGCAACGGCUCCCACUCAACAUCUCAGUCGUGAUAGCUGGCCACAAAGUGGCCAGGAUACACGUGGACGGAGGAUCUGGGGUAGAAGUCACAUACGAACAUUGUUUCCUCAGAUUUGACAGGGAUGAAAGAGACCGACUUGAGGAGGAUUCAAUCCCUCUAGUAGGAUUCAACAACAGUGUGUCACACCCCCUGGGGAAGAUCAAGUUCCCAUUCACAGUUGGGGUAGGGGAUCGAGUUCGAACGAUAAACUUAACUUUCACAGUGGUCCGAGCACCCUCAAAAUACAACGUAAUCCUGGGAAGACCCGGGAUUGGAGAUUUGCAAGCACAGGCAUCCACCCCACACGGAGCCUUAGUAUUUCAGACACCAAAGGGCUUGGCUUAAGUAAAAUCUGCACACGAAGUGAUUUCUUCCUUGUCUGAAGUGGAAGCAUCCGAGAAGCCCCGAAAAGAAGGGGUCGAAGAGUGGGUCCUUUGUGACAGGUUCCCGAAGCAGACGGUCAAAGUGGGAAGUCACCUAAGUGACAAGUGCAAGAGUGCCCUCAAGGAACUGCUCCUCCUCAACAUAGACGUAUUUGCAUUCCAACAUGGGGAUAUGACAGAAAUCCCGAGAAGCUUGACUGAGCACCGACUCAAUACGUAUACAUGGGCAAAACCGGUGAAACAGAAAAAACGAAGCAUGGGUCCCAACAAGAGGAGGGCCGCCUGUGAAGAAACCAGGAAACUGCUCAAAGCGGGAAUAGUCAGGGAGGUGAAGUACCCAUCCUGGGUUCUAAGGACUGUUAUCAUCUCCCAGAAAUAGAUGUCCAAGUGGACUCCUUAUCCCAAUACCCCCUGAAAUGCUUUUUGGAUGCCUACAAAAGAUACCAUCAAAUACAGAUGUCAAUGGAAGAUGAGGAAAAAACCGCCUUCAUCACAGACGAGGGGACAUUUUGUUAUACCAAAACGCCAUUCAUUCUUAAAAAUGCUGGGGCCACAUAUAAAAGAUUUAUGAACUCCCUCUUCAGGGAACAACGGGGAAGAAACUUGGAGGUAUACGUCGAUGACAUCGUUAUCAAAAGCCUAACCGAAAUGGCCAUGAUAGACGAUAUAACCCAAACCCUCCACACCAUGCAAGAUGUGAAUAUGAAACUAAACCCCGGGAAGUGCUGUUUUGGGGUAAAACAAGGAAAACUCUUGGGGGUCGUAGUCACUAAGGGCGGAAACAAAGCUAACCCGGAGAAGACUCAAGCUGUGGCAGAAAUGCGAUCUCCCAGGUCUUUGAAAGACACCCAGCAGCUAAACGGGAGGCUAAUCGCUUUAAACGGUUUUUUGUCAAAAGUAGCUGACAGAACCCUUCCCUUCAUGAAGGUGCUGAAGGACUAACUUCAAACGGACAAGAUUAAUUGGACCUCUGAGGCGGAAGCCGCUUUCCAAGAAAUGAAGGCCUAUAUUUGUAAACUCCCAACACUGGCCACCCCAGUACCCGGGGAACAUCUGACCUUGUACCUGUCCGCCUAAAAAACAACCAUAAAUGCGGUCAUGAUGGUGGAACGGGAGGGAAAACAGAUACCAAUAUAUUUCAUCAGCAGAACACCUAAAGGCCAUGAAGAACGUUACAUGCCCAUGGAAAAGUUAGCGUUGGCCUUUGUUUUCGCAUCCAGGAGACUCAUGAGGUAUUUCCAAGGGCACAAGGACACCCGGAUGACAAAUCAGCCCCUCCAAAAGGUGCUCAAGAGGCCGGAGCUGUCGGGAUGAUUGGCUAAAUGGGACGUGGAACUGGGAAAACACUCCUUGGAGUUCAAACCCAGGAUAACCAUGAAAGGACAAACACAGGCAGAUUUCCUGGCAGAAGUCCCUGAGGAUGAAGAAAAAGAACUCCCAAAAUGGGAAUCCUUGAAAAGAAAAGAGAAAGAAAAGGAAGACAAGGCUGUGUGGAAACUCUUCACUGAUGGAGCCUCCAGUGAAGAAGGGAGCGGAGCAGGCAUUACUUUGAUAAGCCCUGACGGAAUCGAGCUAACCUAUGCCAUAAGACUGGACUUCGAAAACACCAACAACACUGCAGAAUAUGAAGCCCUCUUAGCAGGGAUGAGGCUAGCAGAAAAGACGAAAGCAAAACAUGUGGAAGCUAGCACUGAUUCACAGUUGGUAGUCAAACAAUACUAAGGAGAGUAUGAGGCCAAAGACAACACCAUGGCUCAGUACGUGGCAAAGGUAAAAGAGAUGGCCAGGGUAUUCAAAACUUUUAAGCUGGAAUACAUUCCCUUAGGGAGAAACAGAAAGUCUGAUGCCCUCAGUAAGCUAGCCUCAGUAGCAUUCGAUCACUUAGCAAGAGAAGUCAAAGUGGAAGUCCUAACCCCUCCAUCAGUACAGAGGAGGUAGCUGCAGUUGAAAACACACAAGAAACAUGGAUGACACCAAUUGUAAAGUUCCUCAGGGACGGAACCAUUAUCUGCCGGAACAAAACGUUGUUCUCUCCUAAAGGCUAAAGCAUUUUGGAAGUCCCUUCCAUCAACAAGAAAAUCCCUUCUCUUGUGAAUAAGGUACCUCAGCAGUCGCUUACAAGAACAGGAACGUAUACUUUCCAUGGAAUUAAGCCCAGGAAAAGUUCCUUCCGAGAUUAUGAAGAGUAUCCCGUUCACUGGGAUCAAGUGUUUUAGAAGUCCCUUCCAUAAACAGGAACAUAUCCCUCACUUGGGAUUCAGCCUCGAAGAAACUCCUUCCGAGAAUAUGAAAUGAUGAAGUACAAGGGCCGUUCGGUCAUUAAUCAAAAGAUGAAUUGAACGAAAAUACAAGAGGAAUGUGAAGUAAAUUAGUUUGGGGACCAAUGUGUCAUUAUUUGAAAUUUAAAUGUGGGAGGUAACUAAAGUGGGAGUUUCACGAUGGAGAUUAGUAUCUCUGGGGAUUAAGUCUUGGAGGAGCCGCCUCCGAAAAAUGAAGAUGUCCCACCCUAUGUGAUUAGGGGUCUCGUAAGUCUCUUCAACGAACAGGAACAGGUUUCUCCCAAGAAAAGGAGGGUAUCCCCUCCCGUGGGAUUAAGUAUCGCAAAAGUCUAUUCAACGAACAGAAGUGCACCCGACUACGAGAUCAAGUAUUGGUAAAGUUCCUUCUAAGGACGGGAAAGUACAUCCCAUGAUAUAUGAGAAAAAUCCUCCUUAAAAUUUCGCACCUAAACAACUUAUUCAAAAAAAAAGGAGGGGGGAGAGCCCCUUGACAAGGGACUUCGAAUCUGAAGAAUCCCUUCCUUGAAAAGAAAAGAUCUCCGCCACAGGUCUGUGUUUUAGAAAGUAUCUCUCCAAAGAAGAGGAGCCCCAUCUCGGGGCCGCAUACGUUUGAAGAAGUCUCUCCAAGAGGAGAGGGUUGCACAUUCCAUGGGCACCCAUUUUUAGAGAAUUACAACAUCUCUCCAGGGUAGGAAAGAGCCCUUAACAAGGACUCACAUAGGAAGGUUCCUUCUACAUAACAGGUGUUUUUAAAGGGCUCAUAAAACCUUUCCAAAAUGAGAAGAUGCCACCCCUUCUCGAAGAACAAAAACCUGAACGGUUCGAAGACCUUGCUAACGGGUCAAACAGGAUCAUCUAGACAGACGUGCCGAACGAUCUUACAAUAAAAUAAACAUGUACAUAGGCAUACAGACAUGCCGCCUUAAUCAAAACAAGGCAAAGCCAGGCCGUGGGGCUAGGACUAAGUCGACUACGUCCAAAAAAGCCGAAGCAGGCAUAUGAAAGUCCAAGUGGCCCAAACGCCAUUGGACAACAGGCCCAACAGAAGCUUUAACAACUUAAAACAAGUUACAAAGCGGGCCUAGGCAAAGCCUUUACAACUUGAGCAAGUUACGAAGCAAACUUGUACAAAGCUUUAACAACCCAAGCAGGUUACGAAGCAAACUUGUACAAAGCUUUAACAACUCAAGCAAGUUACGAAGCAAACUUAUAUAAAGCGUUAACAACUUAAACGAGUGACAAAGCAAACUUAUAUAAAGCUCUAACAACUUAAACGAGUGACAAAGCAAACUAUAGAAAGCUUUAACAACCCAAGCAGGUUACGAAACAAAUUUGUACAAAGCUUUAACAACCCAAACACGUUACAAGGCAAACUCAUAGGAAAGUUUUACCAACUCGAGCAAACUACGAAGCAAACUUAUGCAAAGUUUCAAACGAGUCACAAAACGGGUCUAUACAAGGCUUUACCAACUUAAAAAGUUACAAAGCGACCCAUAGAAAGUCUUAACGACUUAAACAGGGUACAAAGAAAAUUCAUGAGAAAGUUUUAACAGUUCAAGCAAUACAAAAACCCUCAUUAGAGGAACACAAUACAAAGAGUACAACACGGUAAAUAAGGCAUCACGGUCGAUGCCCUUUGAGAAAUUACUCUCGAACGAGUACUUUGAUGGAAAUGCAUCUAAGAAGUAUAUGCGAAGAUGGUCUAAAUAGCAUAAACGCUAUAAGAAAGCACUAUCGAACAAGUGCAUUGGAAAAAAUGCCUUCAAGGAGGCAUAAAUUGAAGUAAGGUAUUGUGCUACCCUACUUAAGGGGUCACCUGACUAUUUUAAGUACUAAAUGCAAGGUCACCCCAAGGACAACAAAGUAGAUUGGUUUGGCAUGACGUGCCGUAGACUAUGCUUACCCGACGGAUAGGGGGAACGGUUGAAGGGCGGAUAACGACCCGCCUAGAUUGUCAGGGACUUGAACAAGUCCUGCGCCCAUUCAUGAGUGAAUAGACUUGGACUAAGGAUGACUUGACGACGAGGAUCCCCGCUUGGGCUCCUCGUCUGGGCUCAUCGCCCUAGAUUGGUGGCUGGGCUCGAGCCCACUUGUGUCUUUCUCGGUAUGUUUAGUUGGUUUGAGUGGGUCGUGUCCUGAUAAGCCCACUCUUGGAUCGGCCCAUUAGGGCUAUGGCCCAAAUGUCUCACUAUAUGAAGAGGACUCCCUUCUCCAAGAAGAGGGAGAACAUACUUCCCCACAAAAAGGUUACUCUUAUCUCCUCUUCUCUCAUAUUACUCCUGCUCUCUCUCCCUAAACUACACCCUUACUUGCACUUAUAACAUCUUUAUCACACAAGAUACUGACUUGAGCGUCGGAGUGCCCACGGGGUGAACCCCCUCGGGCCCUCUAACUAGAUCUACCUGUGGCUGCAGUUCAAGACCCGACGUCCCGCAAGAGGAACCGUCACCAUGACGACAAGAUGACGAACCUGAACCGGAGCUCACCGAAUCUAAGAUUAAGUGCAGGUACCUAAACGUAAUUGGCUGGUAUUAGCUCCCUAGCGUCGGGA
Helianthus annuus (common sunflower) is the source of this 8998-nucleotide long non-coding RNA. RefSeq lists it as uncharacterized. The transcript is spliced from 3 exons. The record is from RefSeq and is a predicted model, not a curated record. Lineage: Eukaryota; Viridiplantae; Streptophyta; Magnoliopsida; Asterales; Asteraceae.